This 865-nucleotide ribosomal RNA is filed under the name uncultured Geothrix sp. RNAcentral's name for it is "bacterial SSU rRNA". It matches the Rfam family "Bacterial small subunit ribosomal RNA", at positions 173 to 1018 of the family's 1533-position model. The record is from RNAcentral. Lineage: Bacteria; Pseudomonadati; Acidobacteriota; Holophagae; Holophagales; Holophagaceae.
AGACCUUCAGCUGGGACGCUGGAGGUGAAACCUGGGGACCAGCAAUGGCCUGGGGCAAGGAGAGGGUCCUGCGUCUGAUUAGCUAGUUGGCGGGGUAAUGGCCCACCAAGGCGACGAUCAGUAGCCGGCCUGAGAGGGUGAUCGGCCACACUGGAACUGAGACACGGUCCAGACUAUGACGGGAGGCAGCAGUGGGGAAUUUUGCGCAAUGUACGAGAGUCUGACGCAGCAACGCCGCGUGGGUGAUGAAGGUCUUCGGACUGUAAAACCCUGUCGUCAGGGACGAAGGCAGCAGUGUUAAUAGCGCUGUUGUUUGACGGUACCUGGAGAGGAAGCCCCGGCUAACUCUGUGCCAGCAGCCGCGGUAAUACAGAGGGGGCAAGCGUUAUUCGGAAUUAUUGGGCGUAAAGGGCGCGUAGGCGGUUUUUUAAGUCAGAUGUGUAAUCCCCCGGGCUUAACCUGGAACUGCAUCUGAGACUGGAAGGCUAGAGUACUGGAGAGGGUGGUGGAAUUCCUCGUGUAGCGGUGAAAUGCGUAGAUAUGAGGAGGAACACCAGUGGCGAAGGCGGCCACCUGGACAGUAACUGACGCUGAGGCGCGAAAGUGUGGGUAGCAAACAGGAUUAGAUACCCUGGUAGUCCACGCUGUAAACGAUGAACACUUGGUGUGGAGGGAGUUGACCCCUUCCGUGCCGGAGCUAACGCGUUAAGUGUUCCGCCUGGGGAGUAAGGUCGCAAGGCUGAAACUCAAAGGAAUUGACGGGGGCCCGCACAAGCGGUGGAGCAUGUGGUUUAAUUCGACGCAACGCGAAGAACCUUACCUGGGCUUGAACUGCAUUGGACCGGUCUACCCAUAGGCCUUUCAG